UACGUAGGGGUCUAGCGUUGUCCGGAAUUAUUGGGCGUAAAGAGCUCGUAGGCGGUUCGGCAAGUCGGAUGUGAAAUCUCCACGCUUAACGUGGAGGGGACAUUCGAAACUGCCGUGACUCGAGUCCGGUAGGGGAGUGCGGAAUUCCCGGUGCAGCGGUGAAAUGCGCAGAUAUCGGGAGGAACACCAAUGGCGAAGGCAGCUCGCUGGGACGGUACUGACGCUGAGACGCGAAAGCGUGGGGAGCAAACAGG
This 254-nucleotide ribosomal RNA is filed under the name uncultured bacterium. RNAcentral describes it as "partial 16S ribosomal RNA". It matches the Rfam family "Bacterial small subunit ribosomal RNA", at positions 524 to 776 of the family's 1533-position model. The record is from RNAcentral.